ACUCGGGGGGACCUGAUCCAGCCAUGCCGCGUGUGUGAAGAAGGCCUUUUGGUUGUAAAGCACUUUAAGCGAGGAGGAGGCUACUCUAGUUAAUACCUAGGGAUAGUGGACGUUACUCGCAGAAUAAGCACCGGCUAACUCUGUGCCAGCAGCCGCGGUAAUAA
This 164-nucleotide ribosomal RNA is filed under the name uncultured Acinetobacter sp. RNAcentral describes it as "partial 16S ribosomal RNA". It matches the Rfam family "Bacterial small subunit ribosomal RNA", at positions 370 to 526 of the family's 1533-position model. The record is from RNAcentral. Lineage: Bacteria; Pseudomonadati; Pseudomonadota; Gammaproteobacteria; Moraxellales; Moraxellaceae.